GCGCCUGCGUAGACAAGGCCAUCCCGGAGAUGACACCGCCUGGCACCUGGGUCAGCCAAGGACCAGAGGGGCCCAACACACGUGGUCUGGGGUGCGUGGGGACUGAAGCUCUGGGGUUAAACCAGGAGAAUUCCCGUUGUCAGAGCCCACACGGGUGACUUUUCCUUUUCUUAAUUACUCUCAGAGUAAAAUGAAAACCUGAGAAGUGUGGGGUGUUGGACGGUCGCUGCUAUUGGGAUUUUAUGAAUGCAGAGCCCCAGUGUGUGCUUCCCUUCCCACUGCACCACAGCCGGAGACCACAUUCAUGAGGCCACGCGACACCCAAGCCCGGUGUGGCAGCAGCUCAUCCAGAUGCAGCAGAGUGCCCGCCUCGCUCUGCCGCUCGGCCAGCACCAUCGGCCUCCCUCCAGCGCUGCCUCGGGGUCAGCAGCUCCGGUGCGUCCCAGAGCUCAGAAGCCCUGCCAGUGACCUCACCCACAGCUCCAGCUGCCAGACCCCGGACACCGAGUGGGGCGGGCACACAGGUUCUACUCGGGAUGAAUGGAGACUGUUCUUACAGCCUUACUCCUCUGAGUGAUCCGCUCUGCCAAGGUGACCCCUCACAGUCAGACACCAACCAGUUCCCAUGGAAAUCAGAGAAACCAAAGCACCCAGGCUUCUGAAAAGCCUUGACUUCGAGCCCCUCCUCAUGAAGACUCAGUGUAUGAACUGCGUCCUGGCUGGAGAAAGGACCCAGCCUCCCAGCUCAGGAAUCACAGUAUAGUUUCAAGGAGGAAAGGUGAUACAUCGCAGAAGGCCACUGCCAAGAGGAGCGCUACUCACCGGUCGUGCAGAGCAGGGACCUUGGCG
Long non-coding RNA from Eptesicus fuscus (big brown bat), 849 nucleotides. RefSeq lists it as uncharacterized. NCBI's taxonomy places the organism in Eukaryota, Metazoa, Chordata, Mammalia, Chiroptera, Vespertilionidae. The transcript is spliced from 3 exons. The record is from RefSeq and is a predicted model, not a curated record.